GGGAAAAGAUCCUAAAGAGAUUUCUAAUUUAGAUGAAUCUGAUGACGAAUCUAUUGCGAAACCAAAGGCCCAGGAUGAAUAUGGGUGCGUUGCUUACUUACCAGUUCCACCGCCAUCAGAUGUAUUGAAAUCAUUGGAAGAGAAACGAUUGAAAUUAUGUGAUUACUACGAUUCUUCGGACUUGACAAUUAGUGAUGAGAUAUUAACUUUCAUGAAAGAGUGUUAUUAUUUGCAACGCAAAAUAAUUCACAAAGAAAAAGAUUUAUCAAUAAUUUUCGAACAGUAGCCCUAUUUCUAUAAUUAUAAAAUAAUUAUACAACAUGCAAAUCAGCUGUUAGGAAAAAAUACAGAUUCAAUAUGGAAAGAAUCAUUGAAUAAUUUGGCCAAACCAGUUAACUGCUGGUUCAAACAUGAAGAAAUAGCUCGAGAAGUCAAAGCCAAAAAUAAAAAAAACCAGGGCGAUGAUGACAAAAGAUACAUACGAGAGACUUUGAAAACAGCGAAGAAAUAUAGUGACACUUUGAAAAAUAAUGAGCCAUACCAGACGGUCAUCUUUGGAUUUAUUUCCAAAUUUAUGAAGGAAGACGUUAACUUUCUAUGUCUUAAUUGAUAUAAGAAGAAGUGACUGAUGAGGAGUUAAUUCAACACGUACCUGUUACAAACCCUGUGUUAAUAAUUCGAGGACAAGAUUUACAUCAUAGCCAGAAUUGGUACAAUGUCGCAAUUGAAAAGAAAAUAAUUUUGCACGCUGAGUCAUUCAACGAUGGAUUGUUGACUACUUUUUUAAGUUUCUACGUAUUUGGUAUUGUUUACCCUAAAGAAAUCGAGGGAACAUUGGAGACAAUUCAACGGUUAGUGUUAAAAAAUCCUAUUAUUAUUUAACU
Microplitis mediator is the source of this 884-nucleotide long non-coding RNA. RefSeq lists it as uncharacterized. The record is from RefSeq and is a predicted model, not a curated record. The transcript has 3 exons. Lineage: Eukaryota; Metazoa; Arthropoda; Insecta; Hymenoptera; Braconidae.